UAAACGGCCCUUUUCAGGGCCAACAACAAUUUCAAACGUUGAUGCU
Non-coding RNA from Solenopsis invicta (red fire ant), 46 nucleotides. The record is from Rfam. Lineage: Eukaryota; Metazoa; Arthropoda; Insecta; Hymenoptera; Formicidae.